Nomascus leucogenys (northern white-cheeked gibbon) is the source of this 609-nucleotide non-coding RNA. Lineage: Eukaryota; Metazoa; Chordata; Mammalia; Primates; Hylobatidae. The record is from the annotation of a RefSeq genome assembly.
AUGUGCCACAUCUCCUCUCACUCUGCCCUGGACUCCUGGACCCUCUGUGUGUCCCUUUGUAUCCUGGUAGUGACAUGCACAGAUGCUGGCAUUAUCCAGUCACCCAAGCAUGAGGUGACAGAAAUGGAACAAACAGUGACUCUGAGAUGUGAGCCAAUUUUCGGCCACAAUCUCCUUUUCUGGUACAGACAGACCUUCGUGCAGGAACUGGAAUUGCUGAGUUACUUCCGGAGCCGAUCUAUUAUGGAUGACGCAGGUAUGCCCACAGAUCGAUUCUCAGCUGAGAGGCCUGAUGGAUCAUUCUCUACUCUGAAGAUCCAGCCUGCAGAGCAGGGGGACUCGGCCCUGUAUGUCUGUGCAAGUCGCUUAGCCACAGCGCUGCAGAAUCUCCCCCUCCCUGUGCAGAAACUCUGUUGCUUCCUUUUCUCCACAGCUCCCAGCAGUCCUGAGCAAAGUCUUUCCUGCCUCACCCUCCCCACAAGAAUAAUUAAGUGGGGGCGCUGUUGGUACAUCCUACAGACAGAGGAGCGGCUGUGGAAUGCAAAGAUGAACUCAGACAGGCAGCAUGAGGCCUCUGUUUCCAGACAGCUCUGGAGCCCAAAGCGAUGA